This 55-nucleotide transfer RNA is filed under the name Chelonia mydas (Green sea turtle). Lineage: Eukaryota; Metazoa; Chordata; Testudines; Cheloniidae. The record is from Rfam by way of RNAcentral.
GAAUGGAUGGUCCAGUGCUUAGGACACUAGUCUGAGGAGCUGGAGGUUCUAUUCC